UAUAUAAUUAUCCUACAAUUAAAGUAAUUAUAGUUUGUGAUGAAAAAUAGUCUUUAUUUUUUUGAAACAUUUGCAGGUUUCUUGAAGGGUGUUUAGUGAUCAUCACAGAGAAGUGACAAGAAAAACACUCAGAGAUGUUUUCAUUUCUGCAGAAGAUUUAAGCUGCAUAAGACAUGUUCUUCAUGAAACAACCAGGCAUCUUUACAGUCCAUUAAUUGACAGGCCUGUAUGAAAGGGAGACAGACUGAUGUUCAAAGACAUCUCCUCAUGAUCAGGAUCUAAGAAACAAAUCACAGAAUAUGCUGAGUUGGGAGGGAUGCACAAGGAUCACCGAAUCCAACUCCUAGCCAUGCAUGGGACCAUCCCAAAGAGUCACACCAUGUGCCUGAAAGUAUAGUCCAAAUGCUUCUUAAACUCUGUCAUGCUUGGUGCUGUGACCACUUCCCUGGGGAGCCUGUUUCAGUGCCCAAUCACCAUCUGGGUGAGGAACCUUAUUCUAAUAUCUAACCUAAACCUCCCCUGACACAACUUCAUGCCAUUCCCUCAGGUCCUGCCACUGGUCAUCACAGAGAAGAGAUCAGUGUCACCAGAUGACAUCAGAAAACACAGAAAAUCUGUUUACAGAUGCACUUUAAUCUCUGUCUAAUUUUAAUGUUAAGAGCAGUUUAAUGAUUUUUUUUUACAGUCUGAUCACUGAGCUCCUGAGUUCAGCACAUAGCUGAUAUCUGAUAUCUCUGGACCUUACUUCUGAGUCAAAGCCCUUUGCAGAAUUGGUUUCUAUAGAUAUAACAGGUCUGGUGUCAUAACAGGUACCAAUACACAAAUAAAAGAUUGCCAUGUUGGUUUGCUCUAAUUAUCAAUAAAAUGGUAAAAUAUUUUAAUUUCAACUCUUUCUUAAGCUAAUAAUAUAGCACAUUAACAUCUUAAGUGCAUUUGAAAUAUGGUUAAAGAGAUGAAAGUAGAAUAAUAAGAGGAGAGAUGCUCUGAGGGACCUUAAAACCUAGCAGAAACUUCUGGAGAAGCUAAGCCCUUUGGACAGGCAGAGAGAGUUUUCAGACUUAAGAAGAUUCAGGAAGCAGUUAUAGUCAGAGUAUCUGCUGCUUUGGGACUUGCCCUGGUUAAUAAAGUGUCCGUCACUUUCUGUUAUAACGGUUCCUUAUUAAGCUUAUCUGCUAUCUGAAUAAUAAAAUCAUCUGUCAACAAUAAUUGAGUCUGCUUUUUAUUCAGAUUGCAGCAGUGUCUGCACAUUAUGCCAUGCUUCCAAACUUUCCAACUCAUGCCACUAUGGUGUGUCG
Long non-coding RNA from Chiroxiphia lanceolata (lance-tailed manakin), 1295 nucleotides. RefSeq lists it as uncharacterized. NCBI's taxonomy places the organism in Eukaryota, Metazoa, Chordata, Aves, Passeriformes, Pipridae. The record is from RefSeq and is a predicted model, not a curated record. The transcript is spliced from 3 exons.